Molecule: non-coding RNA, 739 nt
Organism: Toxotes jaculatrix (banded archerfish)
Lineage: Eukaryota; Metazoa; Chordata; Actinopteri; Toxotidae
Source: the annotation of a RefSeq genome assembly
UCUACUUCGCAGUCUGUCAACACUCUGUCAUCAUCACACAUGGAUGGGCUGUGCAUUUUUCUGGUCAUUCUCUUAGGAGUUGCUUCUUGCAGCCAGGAUCAGACUUCACAAUCAGUAUUGGAGGUGACAGUCACACCAGGAGACAACAUCACUCUCUACUGUGACUGCAAAUUAUCAACUGGAGUAUACAUAGUGUGGUACAGAAACUGCUCUCAUAAGCACCAGCCAACUCUUGUUCGUCAAACAAAGGUCUCAGGAUACACUGACGCUAUUGAUCCUCUGAGCUCGAAGUUUGAGGUUUUGAGGAACUCUUCCUCUGAAUCUUAUGACCUGCUGAUCAUGAACAUCACUGAUUCUGACGAGGGCCUCUACUACUGUGGAACUGAAGAAAAGAAGACUCCAGUGAAACUCUUCAACCAAAGUCUCAGCCAGACCCUGAUUUGUGCUGGAUGCUGCUACUCACUUUGUGUCCAGCUUCUGCUUUACUCUCCUCUCUCCUGUCCUCUCUCGUGGUUUAUCAGCUCUGUCAGAAAAAAGCUAAAGAAGUUCAAGCUGAUCAGGAAAGACCUGACGAUCAAGGCCAAACGGGACUGAAUCAGGAUCAAGAUGUGUGUUAUGCUGCGCUGGAAAUCCGUCAGGCAUCACAGAGACCAAAGAAGCAGAAAAUAAAGAGUUUUGACUACAGCACCUACUCUGCCAUCAAUACUUCUAGGAUGUAGAACAGAAGCGUAUUGCUGCC